This is a long non-coding RNA of Neogale vison (American mink), 453 nucleotides long. RefSeq lists it as uncharacterized. The transcript is spliced from 4 exons. The record is from RefSeq and is a predicted model, not a curated record. NCBI's taxonomy places the organism in Eukaryota, Metazoa, Chordata, Mammalia, Carnivora, Mustelidae.
AACCCACUGAGCUACCCAGGCACCUGCCGUGCAGCGUUGACCCAGUGGAGAACCGAGUGGAAAAGGCCGAGCCAGGAACACUGUCUGCUCCUCAACAAGGCCACGGCAGCCUUCUAUCGAAAGCCUCUCCAUGUGAAAGAGCCGGUGGGCUUUCCUGACUGGACCCCUUAACGUCGUAGGAAGAACAUCUCUUAGUCGGUGAAAGCAAUACAUUCCCUGGUUCAAAGUGCACUGAGAAGGCUUCACAGUUUUAAUACUUCCUAGAUGCUCAACCGAGGCGAAGUGACAAAAUGGCCCCCCCACCCCCGCCCGCCAGAAAAAUAAAACCCCAAGCCCCCCCGACAGCAGCUGCUACGGCCGUAUGAAAAAAUAAUACAAAUUCUUCUUAAAAAAUAGAUUACACAGAAAGAACCCAGAGGACAGAGGGCCACGGUGGGGGAGGGGGAUGGGGGA